Molecule: non-coding RNA, 922 nt
Organism: Brienomyrus brachyistius
Lineage: Eukaryota; Metazoa; Chordata; Actinopteri; Osteoglossiformes; Mormyridae
Source: the annotation of a RefSeq genome assembly
ACUGUCAGGGUGAGAGGCAAGAGGGCAGGGAACGGGGGUCAGAUAAUAGUGAGGGUGAAGAGGCACAGGAAUGCAGUGGACUGGGAGGCCCUGCAGCCAGUGUUGCAGUGACUGGGGGCAAUGCAGAGGCCGAGGUGGGAAGGAGUGGUGGGGCUGUCCCCCGUCACUAAGGGAUUGUGGUCAAUGUGGGACGUUAUGCGGUUGCAGGUUGGGGUGGGGGGUCUGGAAGGAACCUGCGACGGUGGAAGAGAGGUGGGAAGUCAUGGUACCAUGGGGGCUGCAGAAAGCUGUACUGCGUGCUAUGCAUGGCCCUGCGGGGUCGAGGAACUUCAAGGUGUGAAGGCUGAGAUUGUACUGACUGAGUCUGAACCAGCGGUGAAGAGACCAGGAGAAUCACACAGACUGACAUGUACAGCAUCUGGCUUCACAUUCAGUAGCUAUGGCAUGCACUGGGUCAGACAGGCUACUGGAAAGGGACUGGAGUGGAUCGCUACUAUUAUCAAUGACGGUAGCAGCACCUGGUACUCCCAGUCCGUUCAGGGCAGAUUCACCAUCUCCAGAGACAACAGCAAGAACAAGGUGUAUUUACAGAUGAACAGCCUGAAAGCUGAAGACACGGCUGUGUACUACUGUGCCAGACACUCACAGUGAUGGGGGCUGUGGGGAAGCCGUACAAAUACUACUUCCUCAUAGAGAAUAAGGAUGUCUUAGUGUCUAAUUUAAUCAAAUUCAGAUCUCUCUUCACUUAUAAAUUUACAAAUAUAAAUUAGCACUGUCGCCUCACACCUCUAGGACCCGGGUUCGAGUCCCCGCCUGGGUUAUAUGUGCGUGGAGUUUGCAAUGUUCUCCCCAUGUCGUCGUGGGGUUUCCUCCGGGUACUCCGUUUUCCCCCCGCAGUCCAAAAACAUGCUGAGGCUAAUUG